CAGUCGCCGCGGUAAAACGAGGGGGGCAAGCGUUGUUCGAAAUUAUUGGGCGUAAAGGGUGCGUAGGCGGUUCAGCAAGUCUCGUGUGAAAUCUUCGGGCUCAACCCGAAGUCUGCACGGGAAACUACUGGGCUUGAGUAAUGGAGAGGUGAGUGGAAUUUCAGGUGUAGCGGUGAAAUGCGUAGAUAUCGGAAGGAACACCUGUGGCGAAAGCGGCUCACUGGACAUUUACUGACGCUGAUGCACGAAAGCUAGGGGAGCAAACAGGAUUAGAUACCCGCGUAGUCCCUGUCUCUUAUAC
Molecule: ribosomal RNA, 301 nt
Filed under: uncultured bacterium
Lineage: Bacteria
Description: partial 16S ribosomal RNA
Rfam family: Bacterial small subunit ribosomal RNA
Source: RNAcentral